UAGAAAGUGGGUGUGGGGUGGUGGGUGUUAGCUGGCAGGGCCCGUGGACCAGUCUAUCUUUAUGUCUCAGUAGUCCGGUCAAGUCCCACAAGCCUCCAGAGCUCUGACCUUCUCAGGGAAUGGAACCAGUAGACUCGGUUAGCUAAAAGUCCUGUUUUGUUCAAACUGUAACCAUCUGAAACAACUCUAAGACUCGAUGGCUCUCUGAGAAGAUACCCUAUAUUAAGAAGGGCUUGGGAGUGAGACUCCCAUUAAACUAAGCAACCCCAGAUUGCUACAGAAGAGAGCUUUGAGCUUCCAGAAAGAAUUCACCUACGACGAAAAAGACGACCCAGCUAAAAGCAAAGAUAUAGAUGUUAGUCUCUUGGCCAAUCUCCCAAAGGUGAGUAAGGGUUUUCUUUUGCUUUAUUUUCUGCCUGCUUGCAAAUUGGUCCUCACCAUGUCAACCUUUUCAGGGAUUUUGAAAGUCACUGUUGUGCAACAGC
RNAcentral lists this long non-coding RNA (485 nucleotides) under Cottoperca gobio. RNAcentral's name for it is "lncRNA (ENSCGOG00000022807.1)". Lineage: Eukaryota; Metazoa; Chordata; Actinopteri; Perciformes; Bovichtidae. The record is from RNAcentral.